This 2416-nucleotide long non-coding RNA is filed under the name Triticum aestivum (bread wheat). Its description in RNAcentral is "long non-coding RNA (TAES_LNC021992)". The record is from RNAcentral. Lineage: Eukaryota; Viridiplantae; Streptophyta; Magnoliopsida; Poales; Poaceae.
AAAAAUAAUGCUCCUGCAGGAUAUUUUGUAUUUACAACAUCAGACAGUACCAUCAAAUGCUAUAUAUUAGUUAGCUAUAAGUAGGAAUCUUUCAUCGGAUUGUCCUCUAAAUAAUACCAUGGAGGCAUGAAAGUAAGUAUUUUCGGUCAGGAAAACAAAGAUGCCAGCUUCCACCAUGAAUCGCAGAAUUUUCAUAUAGUUGUGCUCACAAAGCUAUUUAAACAUAAAAGGAAACAGUAGUACCUUGUAUAUUUGUACAACCUAUCAAGAACAGAGUUGUCAAUUAAUCUCUUUGUAUUGAUGCCCUCAUCACCAGGCCCACUAUCACUGAUACCUUCUCUUCCGGAACCAUAAGUAGUGUGGUCAUUGUAGAAAUAUGACAAGUUAUAUUCUACUUGUGUCUAUCUCUAUCUUGUGAUUCCACUGCCCACUGCCGUGGUUGCACUGCUCAUGUCGGAUUAGAGUUAUGGUGCCCUGAGAAACACGAGCAAAGUUUGAAUAAUCCAGUGGUUAUAUUCUACUUAAAAUGGGGCCAUUAUGCAUAAUAUUAUGUAUGAAUCGCUAUGAGAGAGAACUGAACAAAUUAUAUAGCAAACUGAGUCUCAUAUUCAAUUAUAUCCAUGGAAAAUAUAUUAUGAUCUCUAAACUACAGCAGUGUACAAAGAAGCGACAACCAACUAAGGAAGCGGAAGUGGACGCUCACAGAGAUGACAGACCCAAGUCUGGGAAGGAUGACAGUCGGAUAGAUAUCUCAUCUCUGCUUCUGCUCAUCUCCGUUUAUUAAGAUGCGACAACAUAUGUAUAUAUAUGAUGUGCACCCAACUCUGUCCUGAGCAUUGCCUGCUGCUGAACCUGCACAUGAAAAAACUGACAAAUAUUCUUAUUCUUGUUCUGCCUUAUGCAACAGGUCCGAUGAACCUGCAGCUCAGUAAGUAGGUUAUGGAAAGAAAUAUGGGGAAUGAUGGGGAAAAAGGUUGCAGCUAACCUGGAAGGGACACCCUGUCACCAUCAAAAAGAGAGGCUAUUUGUACAGCAACACAACUCGGUGUAGGAAUCAAUGGUCACCCAAACACUAAUCAUAUAUAUAUUACCUGUUUUCCUGCAAUUGUUAAGAUCCAAAUCAGCAUCUGUUAACUAAUGCAGAGCGUGAAUUUCUCUGCAGACAAAAAAGGCUUUGCAGAUUCAGUAUAGCUGACACAAACAAAAUGCAUUACCUGUUUUCCUCAAGAAUCCGUGACUGAAAGCUGUGGAGAGCAAAUUGCAAAAUAUGAGCAUUAGUAUCACAGAAAUUCAAUGGGACUUCAACAAGACCAGGGCUUGUUUUUCACACUAUUGAACGCUCACGUCUUUCAUAUUUGAUCCACCUUUCAGCUGGGCAAAACAACAAACAGGUGGGGGCACAAUAUCUAUUUAUGCUCAGAAAAGAAAUUACCAAAUAUCCGGACACGAGGGCGUGCGUGAGAGGACGGAGGCGAGGACGCGCGGACUGAUCGCUCGGGUGGAUGGACGGCAGCGCAAAAGCCGGACGGAGCCGGCCGUCUCUGCGGCCCACGCUCCUCCUACCGACGCCGGCGCCGUGGACCACCGCUGCGGCUCGAGCUCCUCCCGGGGUCGCCGCUGCACGCGUGGAGAUGGAGGCGGGGUGCAGCCUCCCGUGCAUCGCGCCCGAGCCCCAGCCUCCUCACAGCUCCCGAUCCAGGAACGGAUCGAGCCGCCGCCAACCGCCAGGUCGCGCCCGACCUCGCCGGCGCAGGCUGACGCCGGCCGCCACACCUCCCUCCCCUCUUUCCUCUCUCUUUCUCCCUCCUCCCCUCUCCUUCCUUCUCUCUCUCCCUCUCAUUUUCUCUCUCUGCUAGGGUUCGUGCGGGAGGAGGGGAUUGGGGAGGCUAGGGUGGGGGCUGGGGAUGGGCGGUGGCUGGGGAUGACGAGACGCCGCCGCGCAUGAAGAGGAGAGGAAGGCGACGCGAGGAGCUGCGCCAGCCGGUGGGGGAGACAGGCGGCCGAGAGGGAGGGGGGAAGCCGCGGCGGAGGCGGCAUGGAGGAGAGGAGCGGGAUAGGAAGAGACGAGGGAGAGAAAGGGGGUGACGAGGGAGAUAUUUCUGCAGCUGCCUCUGUCCGCUCUCGCUGCCAGAAAGGGGGUUCGCUCGCUGUGGCGCACUCUUCCCUCGCGUGGUGCGCUACGCCCUUGCUGUUUUGCGGUGGUUUUUUACCCUCGCGUGGUGCGGUGCGCUGGAGACCUUCAUUCUGCCUAUCAGUCCACCAGGGUUUAUAUGUUCAAUCAGUCCACCAGGGUUUAUAUGUUCAAUGACCACCCCCACAGAUCGAGCAUUUCGGUUCUCUCCUUUUCUUUUCAAGCGUGUCCCCUCUCUGUGGACAAGUUGUGCUUUUGUGACCAGGGCCACGGCAUAUAGUGCAG